UUGUGGAUUGUUUUAGUGAGCGUUUCUUAACUUUUUUUUUUUUGUAACUAGCAAUACUGUACUGUAUGUCAUGCAUCAAAUAAAGGUGUAAACUUAUGCACAAAUCCAAAAUGGAGGUCCUUAUCAGAGCAAAAUUGGAGGAACAAAACAAAAUGUCAGUACUAUAGAAGAGGUUCCCAAACUUACUCUGCUGAAGUUUGGUCACUGACCUUGAUAUCUAAAGGACUGUUGGUGCCAGUGGUGUUAAUUUCUCUUUAUAGGUAUUUUUAUUUUUUUUAUAUUACCUCUAUAGGUAUCUCUCAGUGGGACCUCUAUCCCACAUUCAUCAGCCUGUGAACCACCUGAAACCAGAACCCAGCCCUGUGCUUAGGGGCUCAUCAGCCCCUACUUCACUCCAUCCUUUUGUCAUCCAUCAAAAUCUACCCCUGUACAGCAGGUCCCCUUGGAAAGCUGCUCUCAUAACAGGACCUGAUUAGAAGCCAUUUGAAGUGAAAUGCAAGCGUGGUACUGGUUCUGAGUACAGCUGGAAGUGUUAUAAUGUUCCAUGCUUAGGAAUAACGUGUGGCCAGUGACUGGUCCCACAAACCCUUCUGCAGAUAAGUAAUCCUAUCAAAGGCAGUUGAGUGCAUUUGAUUAAGGAUUACAUGAGAUUAGUGGGCUGCAAGGUUGAGAGUACAACUGGUAUCAUUAAUGAGUAUUCACAUAUUAAUGCUGCUUUGAGCAGAGAUUGAACUAGAUGACCUCUGAGGCCUGUUCCUAGUAGAAUGAUUUUUUGAUUAUCACACUUGUAUUAUGCAAAUAGAAAACUUCCUUUAUAAAAAAAUUCAUUAGUUGGAUAAGCUAAACUCUAGUAAGUCACUGCCGUUAUUUUACCUAAUUGCAUCCUGUGGUAACAUGGAGUUGCAAAUUUGACCCAGGUUUAAGAUUUAAAACAGUAAGAGGAAUACACCCAUGCCUUUUUUGUGUAUUGCCUCAAAUUCUUUGUAUACAGUUUUAUGUCAGAUUGUAUUCCUUGUGUAGGAAUUCUUUCCUAGCAUACAGUUGGCUUUUUCUAGAAUUAGUCCAGAGCAGAGUGCCUGAAAAUUGGAUGCUUUAUGUGCAAUUGAGGUGUGUGAAUGGAUUUAAACUUACUCUGCCUAAUUCUUGUACCACUAGUACUGAGACUAUGGUAAUGAAGGCAUCAGUGCAGGUUAGCAGCCUAAGAAGGGCUUGAGGCCCUUAAAACUUUCCAAAGCAAGGGCUCAGAAUGUGAGAGGGCAUUCUUAUAUUUAAAAAAAAAAUCCCAAACCCACUGCCACCCCAACAAACUCCCCACUGUUAGAAUAUACUAUGUAGAAUCUGAAUAUAUGUAGAUGUUGAGACACAGCUGGUUGAGUUUAAUAAAGAAUAAUCCUUCUUAUGUGCAGGGACUCAUAUGGAUUUUCUUCCUGUGCCUGGAUAAACUUUGUACCCAUUGAUACUUCUAUAACUGUUCUCAUUUAGUAUUGUUAAUUACUUACUUUUAAGCAAGAAGUUUGUGAUAAGGGAGGAAAUCUCUUAACUGCUACCUGUAAAAGGCCAAUCACUUUCACUUGCAUGCAAUUAGAAAUGUUUUUAUGUAACAUUUUAAGCCUCCCAAUAGUUGCAUUAAUCUCAGUAACAGGCUAUAGUUGUUGUCCUGUCUUAUUGGUAACAGUGUAUUUCAGGAAAACACUUGGUUGUAUGCUUUUAUUUAAAAAUACAGGGAGUAUGGUCACAUUGCAAGUAAUGUGUUAAGGACCUGACAGGUCUCUUGGGCUUUUAGAGAGUAUAGAAAGCCAUUAAAAGGAAUAAGAGGUGCUAGGAAGGAGUGGAGUUAUUUCUUUAUGCUGCUCUUCACCACAAGGAUGUUGUGAGCAUUUUAUUCUUUUCAAAUAAUAUUGAUUGGAUGUUAUCUGAUUAUGGGAUUAGAGUGGCAAAAGACUGAAUGCUAGAAUGAAGUGCUAAAGACUCCUAAGUCACCAGGACUCGGUGCUAUUCAUUCCUUUAGUGGUUCUAAAGGAUGAAGUGGCUGAUCUGCUAAGAAGAAUGCAUCUCGUUAGGAUGAGAUGCUGUGCCAGGAGACCGGAAGCUGUCAAGUGCUGUACAUACUGUACUUCUAAAGUGAACACAAAGAGCAGAGCUGGAAUUUGCAGACCAAGGACUCUUCUUUUAAUGCCACUUAAGUAGCUUUGAAUUCUGCAUGGAUAGUCUAGUAGUUCAGUGAGCACAAGAUACAACAGCUUCUAUGCAGUUGUAUCUUAGAUGUAAUGAAAAAUACCAGCUGCAGCUGGGGUACUUGUCAUGUGUCUCUUGUUUGUGUGUUUGUUCCCUAAUAACAAGAGCAGAGGCUGCAGUCUGUACUUCACUUUAGUCUGUCGGUCUUCUAUAUCUAUCUGCCCAGUACUUGGAUUUCUGAAAUCUCUGAAUUCUUAUUAAACUGUAAAUGACUUUUCAAUUUUCCGUUUUGAUAAAGUUUGAAAUCAGGUAGUGGAUUUGAAAGUUAGAAAAGUCCACACCUAACCUAAGCAGACAUGUUUAACUGCAUUAAUCUCUUCUGUGUUUAGCAGUCUAAACCAUGACUAAGUUGCUUCUGUUAUUAAUAGACAAGAGAGGGAUGAACCUGUAUACUGAUACACUCACGCACCCUGUUUAGUUCAUCCCACCUUAAACUUGCAGUGUGUGGCCUUUGGCAGGAAAUUGUACCCCACGCAAUUUUGGUGAGGCUCUACAAGUCUUCAUUUUUGAUGUAAUUGUGGGGAUGAUGACCAGUGAUGCAGAGGUGGAACUGAAAGCAGUUCAGUAGUAUGUUAUGCUGCUUUCAGUGGCAAAGCUGUGAUGUACCUUGUAGUUUACACUCCGGUGACAACAGCAGUUUCUUAAGUACUGACAUUUGUAGCUGCAAUUAGCUGUGUGGUCUUGUUCCCUCACUUUCCCUCCUGUUGUAUAGCACAGUAAUUUGUGCCAUCAUGCAGUGACUUGAAUCAGAAAAUUGAUCCUGACUUUGAGAGAGGUCUAUGGCAAGCAGCAGUUUCUAACCCAAGCUAGUUUCCCACUCUGGUCUAGUGGGUGGCUCCACCAGGAGAUGGGAUCAUGGCCUAAGGAUGAGAACAAGCUGCAGGAGGGUCCUCUCUCUUUGAACUGGCAUUUUACUGAAUAGAUGCUCAUCAGAUUAUGCCUCUAGAAUCUGUGACUCAUCUUGCCCUCAAUUCAAUUACUUCAGAGGAUCUGUAAAUUUUCAAUAAUGGCAAUACAUUCAUGCUGCCAUUUGGAGGAGCCUGUGCCACAGAAUAAUGAUCUGAAGAAAGCUCACUCAUUUGCAAGGAAGAGUCUUCAUUUGGGAAUUAGCACUGAUGCAGCUCAAGGGUGCUUCUUCAAGUCCAGACUCCUCAGCAGAACUGUAAUUUUCCUAACACAGCCUCUGGUACAAGGAUGAAAUUGGGUUUUUGUCAAAGAACAGUGUCCUGUAUCUGAACAGUAAGAAGGUCCUUGACAUUCAGUGGGAUGAGAAUCUCAGAACUGACUACUGGGGACUCCCAAGCUACAGAUCAGUUCUAUAGGCAAUGCAGAAUGUGAGAGAAACAGCUGCAUCUGAAAUAGAUCAUCUGCUUUAAAAAAAACCAUUUUGGUAGGUGUGGGCUUCUUGUCAGAAAUCCGUUCUGAAGCUUGAGUGCAAAGGAAGCAGGGUACUAACGAUGAAUAAGAAUGGUUAUCUUGAGGAUAACGAUGGAUACAGCAUCUUCAAAAGCAUUGGCAUUCUGGUCCUGGUCCUGCAACUGGAUUUGUUCAAAUGGACCUUGAUAGCCUGGGGGCCUGAUGAAGUUCAUGGGACUCUGGUGACUGCAGGUUCUCACUCUGAAGAUCUAAUUGUAGGCCUGAACCUAAAUUUCUAUUUUGUUCUCCUGUCUGUUUGCUUCUCAAAUGAUGAAAAUUAUUCUUUAAAAUGGUGUUGUCGUUGAGCCUCAUGCACAUCCACUUUAGUAAUGUUCCGACACUGUGUGCCUGGGAUGUUGUCAGACAUUGUUAAAUUAUUUCUGUUCUGUUGUGUGCCUAAACCUCAUGAUUGCUCUGAUUAUUGUGUUAGAUUUUGCCAUUUAGUGCCUUCCUACCUAAAAUGGAGGUGAUAAUCACCUGUGUUUGCAAUCGUUGUGGUAUUUCUCUUAACUCAGAUUUUUAAGUCAGAGUAACUGGUGAAACUGUUCAGGUUAUUUUUAAAGAUGUAGGUAGAUUUGUUUAUUUCUUGCUGGACACAAAGUAUAAUAAUUUAAUUUGCAAACUUAGUAACCUAGUAUUACUGAAAGCUUUCAAUAUGAUGAUACUCUGAUGUAAUAAAAUGAGUAGGAAAUGAU
Long non-coding RNA from Passer domesticus (house sparrow), 4346 nucleotides. RefSeq lists it as uncharacterized. The transcript is spliced from 7 exons. The record is from RefSeq and is a predicted model, not a curated record. Lineage: Eukaryota; Metazoa; Chordata; Aves; Passeriformes; Passeridae.